CAGUAGCCGCGGUAAUACAGAGGGUGCGAGCGUUAAUCGGAUUUACUGGGCGUAAAGCGUGCGUAGGCGGCUUCUUAAGUCGGAUGUGAAAUCCCUGAGCUUAACUUAGGAAUUGCAUUCGAUACUGGGAAGCUAGAGUAUGGGAGAGGAUGGUAGAAUUCCAGGUGUAGCGGUGAAAUGCGUAUAGAUCUGGAGGAAUACCGAUGGCGAAGGCAGCCAUCUGGCCUAAUACUGACGCUGAGGUACGAAAGCAUGGGGAGCUAACAGGAUUAGAUACCCCAGUAGUCCCUGUCUCUUAUAC
RNAcentral lists this ribosomal RNA (301 nucleotides) under uncultured bacterium. Its description in RNAcentral is "partial 16S ribosomal RNA". It matches the Rfam family "Bacterial small subunit ribosomal RNA", at positions 509 to 807 of the family's 1533-position model. The record is from RNAcentral.